This 495-nucleotide ribosomal RNA is filed under the name uncultured bacterium. RNAcentral describes it as "partial 16S ribosomal RNA". It matches the Rfam family "Bacterial small subunit ribosomal RNA", at positions 28 to 507 of the family's 1533-position model. The record is from RNAcentral.
GAUGAACGCUGGCGGCGUGCCUAAUACAUGCAAGUAGAACGCUGAAGGAGGAGCUUGCUCUUCUGGAUGAGUUGCGAACGGGUGAGUAACGCGUAGGUAACCUGCCUGGUAGCGGGGGAUAACUAUUGGAAACGAUAGCUAAUACCGCAUGACAACAGUUAUUGCAUGAUAACUGUUUAAAAGUGGCAACUGCUCCACUACCAGAUGGACCUGCGUUGUAUUAGCUAGUUGGUGAGGUAACGGCUCACCAAGGCGACGAUACAUAGCCGACCUGAGAGGGUGAUCGGCCACACUGGGACUGAGACACGGCCCAGACGCCUACGGGAGGCAGCAGUAGGGAAUCUUCGGCAAUGGGCGGAAGUCUGACCGAGCAACGCCGAGUGAGUGAAGAAGGUUUUCGGAUCGUGAAGCUCUGUUGUAAGAGAAGAACGAGUGUGAGAGUGGAAAGUUCACACUGUGACGGUAUCUUACCAGAAAGGGACGGCUAACUACGUG